CCGAAGGUUCCGGGGUAGCAUUAAACCUGCAAGUCGAACGCUGAUCCACUUUCGGGUGGGGAUGAGUGGCGAACGGGUGAGUAAUACGUGGGUAAUCUGCCCUGCACUCUGGGAUAAGCCUUGGAAACGGGGUCUAAUACCGGAUAUCACAAUCUCUCGCAUGGGGGGUUGUUGAAAGUUCCGGCGGUGCAGGAUGAACCCGCGGCCUAUCAGCUUGUUGGUGGGGUAAUGGCCUACCAAGGCGACGACGGGUAGCCGGCCUGAGAGGGUGACCGGCCACACUGGGACUGAGACACGGCCCAGACUCCUACGGGAGGCAGCAGUGGGGAAUAUUGCACAAUGGGCGAAAGCCUGAUGCAGCGACGCCGCGUGAGGGAUGACGGCCUUCGGGUUGUAAACCUCUUUCGCCAGGGACGAAGCGCAAGUGACGGUACCUGGAUAAGAAGCACCGGCUAACUACGUGCCAGCAGCCGCGGUAAUACGUAGGGUGCGAGCGUUGUCCGGAUUUAUUGGGCGUAAAGAGCUCGUAGGCGGUUUGUCGCGUCGGCCGUGAAAUCUCCACGCUUAACGUGGAGCGUGCGGUCGAUACGGGCAGACUUGAGUUCGGUAGGGGAGACUGGAAUUCCUGGUGUAGCGGUGAAAUGCGCAGAUAUCAGGAGGAACACCGGUGGCGAAGGCGGGUCUCUGGGCCGAUACUGACGCUGAGGAGCGAAAGCGUGGGGAGCGAACAGGAUUAGAUACCCUGGUAGUCCACGCUGUAAACGUUGGGCGCUAGGUGUGGGCGACAUUCCACGUUGUCCGUGCCGUAGCUAACGCAUUAAGCGCCCCGCCUGGGGAGUACGGCCGCAGGCUAAAACUCAAGGGAAUUGACGGGGGCCCGCACAAGCGGCGGAGCAUGUGAUUAUUCGAUGCAACGCGAAAAACCCUUACCUGGGCUUGACAUGCGCCAGACAUCCCCAGAUAUGGGGCUUCCCUUGGGGUAG
This 983-nucleotide ribosomal RNA is filed under the name Amycolatopsis sp. DBT102. Its description in RNAcentral is "bacterial SSU rRNA". It matches the Rfam family "Bacterial small subunit ribosomal RNA", at positions 29 to 1029 of the family's 1533-position model. Lineage: Bacteria; Bacillati; Actinomycetota; Actinomycetes; Pseudonocardiales; Pseudonocardiaceae. The record is from RNAcentral.